RNAcentral lists this long non-coding RNA (348 nucleotides) under Brachypodium distachyon (stiff brome). Its description in RNAcentral is "long non-coding RNA (BDIS_LNC003864)". The record is from RNAcentral. Lineage: Eukaryota; Viridiplantae; Streptophyta; Magnoliopsida; Poales; Poaceae.
AAAUAUGAAUGAAUGCAUCUUUUAAAAAAAAAUCUAGAUACAUGUAAUAUUAUGACAACAAUUUAUGACUCGAGGGAGUAGUUCCAAUUUGGACCACCAAUUGACGGCUCGUUUGAGAAUUUCGAUCUGUUUUGAAUCUGUGAUUUUUAAUCUGAUGAAAUACACUUUAUUUUCACUGCGGAAUUUCUGUUUUUUUUAGGAGAUGCGGAAUUUCUGUUAGCGGUUAGGAAGAGAGCGUCACAAGAAAGGCCGGCAGUAACGGGCAGCCUGUGUCACCGCUUCUUCUGUUCCCUUCGUCUCGGAUUUUUUUUUUAAGGGAAACUUCGUCUCAGAUUGAGGCAGUGUGUG